This 117-nucleotide ribosomal RNA is filed under the name Candidatus Parendomicrobium reticulitermitis. Lineage: Bacteria; Pseudomonadati; Elusimicrobiota; Endomicrobiia; Endomicrobiales; Endomicrobiaceae. The record is from RNAcentral.
UCCGGUGGUUAUUUCGAUGGGGCCACACCCGUUCUCAUCCCGAACACGGAAGUUAAGCCCAUCAGAGCCGAUGGUACUUGGACCGCAGGGUUCUGGUAGAGUAGGUCGCCGCCGGAU